This 72-nucleotide transfer RNA is filed under the name Aequorivita sp. Its description in RNAcentral is "tRNA-Met". It matches the Rfam family "tRNA". Rfam says of the family: Transfer RNA (tRNA) molecules are approximately 80 nucleotides in length. Their secondary structure includes four short double-helical elements and three loops (D, anti-codon, and T loops). Further hydrogen bonds mediate the characteristic L-shaped molecular structure. tRNAs have two regions of fundamental functional importance: the anti-codon, which is responsible for specific mRNA codon recognition, and the 3' end, to which the tRNAs corresponding amino acid is attached (by aminoacyl-tRNA synthetases). tRNAs cope with the degeneracy of the genetic code in two manners: having more than one tRNA (with a specific anti-codon) for a particular amino acid; and 'wobble' base-pairing, i.e. permitting non-standard base-pairing at the 3rd anti-codon position. Lineage: Bacteria; Pseudomonadati; Bacteroidota; Flavobacteriia; Flavobacteriales; Flavobacteriaceae. The record is from RNAcentral. RNAcentral also lists the same sequence under 4 other names.
GGCGGGUGCGUCAGAUAGCUCGUCGGGCUCAUAACCCGAAGGUCGCAGGUUCAAAUCCUGCCCCCGCCACCA